AGCGUAGACGGCUGUGUAAGUCUGAAGUGAAAGCCCGGGGCUCAACCCCGGGACUGCUUUGGAAACUAUGCAGCUAGAGUGUCGGAGAGGUAAGUGGAAUUCCCAGUGUGGCGGUGAAAUGCGUAGAUAUUGGGAGGAACACCAGUGGCGAAGGCGGCUUACUGGACGAUGACUGACGUUGAGGCUCGAAAGCGUGGGGAGCAAACA
This 207-nucleotide ribosomal RNA is filed under the name uncultured bacterium. RNAcentral describes it as "partial 16S ribosomal RNA". It matches the Rfam family "Bacterial small subunit ribosomal RNA", at positions 568 to 774 of the family's 1533-position model. The record is from RNAcentral.